UGGGCUUGCAAUAAAUCAUAGAUGUCCCUGA
RNAcentral lists this non-coding RNA (31 nucleotides) under Rattus norvegicus (Norway rat). The record is from RNAcentral. Lineage: Eukaryota; Metazoa; Chordata; Mammalia; Rodentia; Muridae.